Syzygium oleosum is the source of this 1111-nucleotide long non-coding RNA. RefSeq lists it as uncharacterized. The record is from RefSeq and is a predicted model, not a curated record. Lineage: Eukaryota; Viridiplantae; Streptophyta; Magnoliopsida; Myrtales; Myrtaceae. The transcript has 3 exons.
GCUCACAGACGCACAGACGCACACAAACACAAUCGCCGACGAUCUUCCCUCACUUCAUUCGCUUACUCUACUCUGCGUAGUCGAAGCCUCUCUCACUUUGAUCGUUCUUCGUUGUGAUUUUGCAGAGCCGAUUCAGUAUCCCACGACCGAUUCCUGAUGAGUGAUCGCUCCUAUUCCACAUUUCGGUCCUCAAUUCGGCAUUAGGUUUCAUUUCCGUGGCAUUUGAGGCUAUUGUAGCUGCAUGUUGAUGAUGAUCGAAGAUUGUAGAGGCGAUCGCAGCGAUCGAUCCAUUUCUUACUCUCUGUUUUUUCCUUCUUCUUUUCCGGAUAGUCGAUAUAGACUUGGUAGAGUCUUUCAUUCCACGUACUUGACUCUGCGAAACCCUCGCUCUUCCUCGAUCUUUGAUCGUUCUUUGUUUUGAUUUGCAGAGCGCAUCUAGUAGCCCGACCAGACCGAUUCUGACUAGCCCUCUUCGGCAUGGCGCCCGCACUUGCCCACCAGCUACUCCUGGCCCAACAGGAGUUCAGAGAGGCCAAAGCUAAGUUGGAAGAAGCCCAGCAUCAUAACAACCGUGCCCUAAACAAGAAUUAAGUACUGAUCUUUGAUGAUUAUGUAGAUUAUAGCCCAUAACAUCUCUGUUUUCUCUCCUUCAGGCGAUACUUGCUUCGCGCCGCCAAGCAAAGGCGCGAUGCGGCUGUAUCGAGGUUGGAAAGAGUAACAGGAUAGAUCAAAAGCAAGCAAUGUCUGUUCCUGCACAAUGUGGAGCAGGUCCAUGCGGUCGUCGAGCUUCUGGAGAACCUCCACCACCGUGGGCGCCUCCACCGUGUGGAGAUCAAGUGCCGCGAGGUGGAGGUAACCCGGGAGAUGCGGUAGGCUCUACAAGAGUAUGGAUUUAAGUAAUCCUCUGAGCUUCCUCCGGCCUGAUGGCAACACAAGCCUCCCCCAUUCGGUUGUAUUGGUAAAUGGUGGCAUGCCUAAAUUUUAUAGAUGUUUGUACUGAUCUAAAUUACUGUUUUUUAAAUCUGUUUUGUAAGGUGAGGCCAGAUGAUAUAUUAGUUGAGUUCAAUUGUUACUUCAAUGGCUUGUUGUCUGGUGCAUAACUUUCUAUCUA